CACCAGUGGCAAAGGAGCUUUCUGUUUGGAAACAAACUUUGAGGGGGGAAAGCUUGGGGAGGGAACAAGAUAGAUACCCUGGUAGUCCCCGCCGUAAACGAUGAGUGCUAAGUGUUAGGGGGUUUCCGCCCCUUAGUGCUGCAGCUAACGCAUUAAGCACUCCGCCUGGGGAGUACGGUCGCAAGACUGAAACUCAAAGGAAUUGACGGGGGCCCGCACAAGCGGUGGAGCAUGUGGUUUAAUUCGAAGCAACGCGAAGAACCUUACCAGGUCUUGACAUCCUCUGACAACCCUAGAGAUAGGG
RNAcentral lists this ribosomal RNA (304 nucleotides) under Bacillus altitudinis. Its description in RNAcentral is "bacterial SSU rRNA". It matches the Rfam family "Bacterial small subunit ribosomal RNA", at positions 707 to 1011 of the family's 1533-position model. The record is from RNAcentral. Lineage: Bacteria; Bacillati; Bacillota; Bacilli; Caryophanales; Bacillaceae.